UGUAAUCCCACCUACACCUCUUUUCUUUACAAAUUAGUCUGUGCUAUUGUUACAGAAGCAGCAAACAGACUUAGGAGCUAGAGUCCCACUGGCCUUUUAUGACUCAAGCAGGCUUCAAGUAUUUAAAUGAUUUUGUGUUAAAAUCAACCCCAGAGGCUAACAUCACUGGCUUAGAAGUCUGAGAGCUGACAAAUUAAAACCUAACAGCAAUUAUCCAUAUUUUUAGCAUAAGAAAGUCUUAGCAUUUUGUUGCCAUAGAGAUCAAAAAAGGAGCCCCACAGAGCCCUGCCCCUGAAUUCAGGCCUUCUCAUUUGGUCCCUAAGCUGGGUGAGACAGCCGCUCUCCCACCCCCUUAUUAUUAAGACAGUGGUAGGUGCACCUUCCCUUUCACAGAGGUAUUUCUGGAAUACUCAGUUCCCUAGAAUUCACUGGUCCCAGGCCUGUGUUAUCCCAGGCAGAGCCACAUGGAAAGCAGGAGUUGAGGGGACUGACAGAGGAACAACAGUAGACAUCAGGUCAGGAGAACCCUGCUGUUAUACAAGACCCAAACCCCUUUGGAUAUUGGAUUGGGAUUGCUACUACAAAGAGGGUCAAAGGCAGGUACAAAGGCCAAUAGAGUUCAGAAAGCUCAGCUUAGCUCUGGUACUUAACUCUUCAAGAUCACAACCCCCCCCCCCCCCCACUAGAAAAAAACAAGUGUAGAAUGCAGUACUGUCAUAGUGCCAUCUGCUGGAAAGAUAAGAUCUGUCAUUAGGCACAGAGAAGGAGGCUGUUAAGUCUAAGUCUGUCCUGGUGCUGCAACUUGGCUGUUUGGGUAAUUCUGUCCAGUGGGUAGUUGGGAUGGAGAUAGUUAAGAUGAAGACAGACGGAGAAGACAACCAUAGAUCAACAGUGUAAUGCAGAUACAGAAUGGGAACCCCACCCAGGUGUGAGUUUUCAUUUUUCUUUCUAAAGGUGGUUAAAUAAAUAAAAGAAACACAAUGAUGUUACUAAUGUUUUAUAUCCCUAGAAACAUCAUAAGUUGGGCUAAUGAGAAGUUGUCAGACACACAACAAAGACCACACACAAAUGGGCAACAGCUGCCACAAGGAGGAGGCUUGCCUUUUGUACAAAGUUUAUAUAUAUAUAUAUAUAUAUAUAUGUAUAUAUAUUUAUGUACACAGACACAAGGGUAUAAAAUCCAGUGAGAAGGGCUCACACAUGCCCAGGUAAGGGAUGGGAGUAGCUUUAAUUGCCAGGGUUGAGGCCACAGUAGAGGCACACAGAAGUGGUAGAGUAGCAGCCUCCCUCCAUCCUCCUGCCUCGGGCCAAAGGGAGGAAAUGGGAGGAAGGACAAGUAUACAAAGGAAGAUGGAAGAUACUGGAAAGGCAUACUCCACCUUUUACUAAAUUCCUGAAAGCCCCUAAAUGCCUCACAGGACAGAUCACUCUCACGCCUCCUGGCAGGACAGAUCACUCUGAGGCCUCCUGGCAGGAUAGAUCACUUCCAUGCCUCCUAGCAAGAUGCUGAGCCUACAGUAGGUCUGGCCUCAAGCUGCUUCAAGCUAAGGUCUGAGGCUGGCUUCUCAAUGCACGUCCAUGCUAUCUCCCAGGGCCCUUGUAGCAGAAAGAGCACCUUCAAGGUUCACCCACAAACUCAGUCCUCUUGAUUCAGAGGUCCUAAGGGUUUUCCUUGACAGACUAAAGGUUAAAGGUACAGGAAAAGGAGAGAGGUCAGUUCCUUCAGUUAAUGCCCUAUGGCCUUCCCAAUGGGGGAGGAAUUGAGGAAUCACUAAGGUGUUGGAAAGGGCAAGAAGGUAAUCUCAGAGACGAUACGCAUGGAGAAACAGGUAUUCAAUGCAGGUGUGGAUUCUGUUCUCUUCAACUGGCGGCUUUGCUCAGCAGAGUCCAUUUCCAGUGGGACCAUGGGCAGGAGCUCUUCUUGGUAUCUUAAGGGUGGCCCCAAUUUCCUCAGAGACAAUGUCCAUGCCCUCAGGAUGGCUUGGUCCACAAAAUGGAGAAAUGGGGCCAUGGAAGAGUAGAUGUGAAGUGGCAGGAUCCAGAGGCACAAGGAGGCAGUAUACUGUGCCACUGAUUUACCUGUGGAAAGAAGAGGUAAAUGGGAAGCCAAAGGAAAGAGAAUAAUCAAAGGCUAGAAUGAGCUAGACCCUGAGACUCACAUGGUCUGGGGGGUAAAGAGGCUGGAGAGCUGGAAACACUGGGAGGCAAGGUUCAGGGCUGGACUCAGAGCUAGAACAAAGACAGGCAGAGUGAGUGAGCAAGCACCGCGCACUCCUUCUUUCCAGACCCCCAAACCUUCCCUUCCUUUCCCAUGUCCAAGACUACCAGUCAGAGCUGCUGGAUUCAGGGCCCCCAAGGGAACUGCUCCAUUCAGUUGCAAGGCAGCAGCUUGGGCGGCGGCGGCAGCAGCAGCAGCAGCAGCAGUAGCAGUGCUUGG
RNAcentral lists this long non-coding RNA (2437 nucleotides) under Pan troglodytes (chimpanzee). Its description in RNAcentral is "long non-coding RNA NONPTRT004731". Lineage: Eukaryota; Metazoa; Chordata; Mammalia; Primates; Hominidae. The record is from RNAcentral.